GAUGAACGCUGGCGGCGUGCCUAAUACAUGCAAGUCGAGCGAACGGACGAGAAGCUUGCUUCUCUGAUGUUAGCGGCGGACGGGUGAGUAACACGUGGAUAACCUACCUAUAAGACUGGGAUAACUUCGGGAAACCGGAGCUAAUACCGGAUAAUAUUUUGAACCGCAUGGUUCAAAAGUGAAAGACGGUCUUGCUGUCACUUAUAGAUGGAUCCGCGCUGCAUUAGCUAGUUGGUAAGGUAACGGCUUACCAAGGCAACGAUGCAUAGCCGACCUGAGAGGGUGAUCGGCCACACUGGAACUGAGACACGGCCCAGACUCCUACGGGAGGCAGCAGUAGGGAAUCUUCCGCAAAGGGCGAAAGCCUGACGGAGCAAUGCCGCGUGAGUGAUGAAGGUCUUCGGAUCGUAAAACUCUGUUAUUAGGGAAGAACAUAUGUGUAAGUAACUGUGCACAUCUUGACGGUACCUAAUCAGAAAGCCACGGCUAACUACGUG
Molecule: ribosomal RNA, 497 nt
Filed under: uncultured bacterium
Lineage: Bacteria
Description: partial 16S ribosomal RNA
Rfam family: Bacterial small subunit ribosomal RNA
Source: RNAcentral